GUAUGGAAUCUUCCGGUUCAAGCUCCUCAAUACACUUCAGGUCGAGUAAAGAUUAAAAAUGGUGCUGAAAGCUUAGAAGCUGGGUGGACGGUGAAUCCGGGUUUAUAUGGUGGUGAUAAUAGAACCAGAAUGUAUAUUUAUACCAAUGCUGGUCAAGCACAUUGUUUCAACACACCAUGUGGAUUUAUACAAUCUUCAAUAGAUAUACCUGUG
Long non-coding RNA from Vitis riparia (riverbank grape), 213 nucleotides. RefSeq lists it as uncharacterized. The transcript has 3 exons. The record is from RefSeq and is a predicted model, not a curated record. Lineage: Eukaryota; Viridiplantae; Streptophyta; Magnoliopsida; Vitales; Vitaceae.